AUGAACGCUGGCGGCGUGCCUAAUACAUGCAAGUCGAGCGAACAGACGAGGAGCUUGCUCCUCUGACGUUAGCGGCGGACGGGUGAGUAACACGUGGAUAACCUACCUAUAAGACUGGGAUAACUUCGGGAAACCGGAGCUAAUACCGGAUAAUAUAUUGAACCGCAUGGUUCAAUAGUGAAAGACGGUUUUGCUGUCACUUAUAGAUGGAUCCGCGCCGCAUUAGCUAGUUGGUAAGGUAACGGCUUACCAAGGCGACGAUGCGUAGCCGACCUGAGAGGGUGAUCGGCCACACUGAAACUGAGACACGGUCCAGACUCCUACGGGAGGCAGCAGUAGGGAAUCUUCCGCAAUGGGCGAAAGCCUGACGGAGCAACGCCGCGUGAGUGAUGAAGGUCUUCGGAUCGUAAAACUCUGUUAUUAGGGAAGAACAAAUGUGUAAGUAACUAUGCACGUCUUGACGGUACCUAAUCAGAAAGCCACGGCUAACUACGUG
This 496-nucleotide ribosomal RNA is filed under the name uncultured bacterium. Its description in RNAcentral is "partial 16S ribosomal RNA". It matches the Rfam family "Bacterial small subunit ribosomal RNA", at positions 29 to 507 of the family's 1533-position model. The record is from RNAcentral.